CCUUAUUUUUUGUUCUUCAGUCUUCUACAUCUCUCAGUCUCUGUUUUGGUGUGAGUCUACCUGUGUGUCGCUAGCUCUCCCAGACAUAGUUAUUUUCCUUUUUAGGGACCAUGACAGGGACUUUGACACUCUCCACUACCUAGGCCUCGAAGCCACAAAUCCAGCCUCUUUCCUCUCUCCUUUCCUCGACAACCAAGAAAUCUCCUUAUGACCUCACAGUCAUUACAUGACAACACAAAGUGGGGAGGCCUCCUACCUGGGCGGGGCAUCGUGGGAGGGUCCAGACUUGGAGAGGAUAAUCAGUGACUCCCCCCCUUACCCCUAGUCCAAGGCUGCUCGCAUGGCUGCCCGAGGGACUCAAUCCGUGUCUCUAGAGAGGAGAAACUGUGCAUUGAUGGAGAAGAUCAAGUGUCUACAGGCAGCCAACGCUAACCUGAAAAAACUGAAUGAGAAGUUACAAGAGGAGAAUGAUGUCCUGAGAUCCACUGAAGAGGUACUGCUCAGGGACAAUGACAAGAUUAAAAAGAAAAUACUGAAGCUUAAGGAACGCCACGAAUCUCUGCAAGACGAUAUCUACACGCUGGAGGAACGUCUGUGUUCUUGCACCUGCCCUGAGAACCGAUCGAACCACGAACACAAAGAGAGCAAAAGGGCUGCGAACACAGGGCGGCGGCUCCCGUGAGUCCCCGAGGCCGGAUGCACCUCCCCGUCCCCCCACGGAAACCGACCCCCUCUGGGGUUCAAUAAACUUCUCUCCGGGGCUGGGAACCCCUCUGAU
Molecule: long non-coding RNA, 778 nt
Filed under: Phascolarctos cinereus (koala)
Lineage: Eukaryota; Metazoa; Chordata; Mammalia; Diprotodontia; Phascolarctidae
Description: lncRNA (ENSPCIG00000007635.2)
Source: RNAcentral